UACAGAGGGGGCAAGCGUUGUUCGGAAUUACUGGGCGUAAAGGGCGCGUAGGCGGCCCGCUAAGUCAAACGUGAAAUCCCCGAGCUCAACUCGGGAACUGCGUCCGAUACUGGUGGGCUUGAAUCCGGGAGAGGGAUGCGGAAUUCCAGGUGUAGCGGUGAAAUGCGUAGAUAUCAGGAGGAAUACCGAUGGCGAAGGCAGGUCUCUGGGCCAAUACUGACGCUCAUGCACGAAAGCGUGGGGAGCAAACAGG
This 253-nucleotide ribosomal RNA is filed under the name uncultured bacterium. RNAcentral's name for it is "partial 16S ribosomal RNA". It matches the Rfam family "Bacterial small subunit ribosomal RNA", at positions 524 to 776 of the family's 1533-position model. The record is from RNAcentral.